UAGUGACCGAUAGUGAACCAGUACCGUGAGGGAAAGGUGAAAAGCACCCCGGAAGGGGAGUGAAAUAGAACCUGAAACCGUGUGCUUACAAGUAGUCAGAGCCCGUUAAUGGGUGAUGGCGUGCCUUUUGUAGAAUGAACCGGCGAUUUACGAUUUGAUGCAAGGUUAAGCAGUAAAUGUGGAGCCGUAGCGAAAGCGAGUCUGAAUAGGGCGUUUAGUAUUUGGUCGUAGACCCGAAACCAGGUGAUCUACCCUUGGUCAGGUUGAAGUUCAGGUAACACUGAAUGGAGGAC
This 293-nucleotide ribosomal RNA is filed under the name Staphylococcus aureus. RNAcentral describes it as "partial 23S ribosomal RNA". It matches the Rfam family "Bacterial large subunit ribosomal RNA", at positions 478 to 774 of the family's 2925-position model. Lineage: Bacteria; Bacillati; Bacillota; Bacilli; Caryophanales; Staphylococcaceae. The record is from RNAcentral.